This 504-nucleotide small RNA is filed under the name Arabidopsis thaliana (thale cress). RNAcentral's name for it is "ATSL030500". Lineage: Eukaryota; Viridiplantae; Streptophyta; Magnoliopsida; Brassicales; Brassicaceae. The record is from RNAcentral.
AUAUAGUUAACAAAAAAAUGUAGGUUCAAAUACUAAAUAAUGUAGGUUCAAAUACUAAACAUAGUUCAAAAUAAAAACAACUUGAAAUGACAAAGUUUGGAACAAAAUAUACAUAAAUUCAAAACAUAAUUUUAAAUUUCAAGGAGCGGCUACGUCAAUCUCUUAAUUUUCUUCAAUCAAUUCAAGUCUUGGGUUCUAUGUAUCAUACUCGCCUUAAAACUGCGGGUGUAAACACACAAAAACAUCAGAUCGGUGAGUUUGUGAACAGACAUCAUAUCUUUUGAGAGAAAGUAUAUUCGAGUCUUCCAAAACGAUUUCAUCAGCAAUGUUACCGGUGUAGACUUUAGCAACAGUAAUGAAUCAUAUCCACCAAAUAUGUUUUCCCUUUAAAUACAUAAGAGAAACUGAAAAGUCUUUCCUUUCAAACUGUUGAUCACAUCAGGCAAAACAGUUGGGUUUUCGAUCUACACAAAAAUAGAGAAUAUUAUUACAUGAACGUAGUCA